Molecule: ribosomal RNA, 510 nt
Filed under: uncultured bacterium
Lineage: Bacteria
Description: partial 16S ribosomal RNA
Rfam family: Bacterial small subunit ribosomal RNA
Source: RNAcentral
GACGAACGCUGGCGGCGUGCUUAACACAUGCAAGUCGAACGAAGAGCGAUGGAAGCUUGCUUCUAUCAAUCUUAGUGGCGAACGGGUGAGUAACGCGUAAUCAACCUGCCCUUCAGAGGGGGACAACAGUUGGAAACGACUGCUAAUACCGCAUACGAUCUAAUCUCGGCAUCGAGGAUAGAUGAAAGGUGGCCUCUACAUGUAAGCUAUCACUGAAGGAGGGGAUUGCGUCUGAUUAGCUAGUUGGAGGGGUAACGGCCCACCAAGGCGAUGAUCAGUAGCCGGUCUGAGAGGAUGAACGGCCACAUUGGGACUGAGACACGGCCCAGACUCCUACGGGAGGCAGCAGUGGGGAAUCUUCCGCAAUGGACGAAAGUCUGACGGAGCAACGCCGCGUGAGUGAUGACGGCCUUCGGGUUGUAAAGCUCUGUUAAUCGGGACGAAAGGCCUUCUUGCGAAUAGUGAGGAGGAUUGACGGUACCGGAAUAGAAAGCCACGGCUAACUACGUG